RNAcentral lists this ribosomal RNA (279 nucleotides) under uncultured bacterium. RNAcentral describes it as "partial 16S ribosomal RNA". It matches the Rfam family "Bacterial small subunit ribosomal RNA", at positions 506 to 784 of the family's 1533-position model. The record is from RNAcentral.
UGCCAGCCGCCGCGGUAAUACGUAGGGGGCGAGCGUUGUCCGGAAUUACUGGGCGUAAAGGGUGCGUAGGUGGUCUUUUAAGUCGGAUGUGAAAUACCCGGGCUUAACCUGGGGGGUGCAUCUAAUACUGGAAGGCUAGAGUGCAGGAGAGGAAAGCGGAAUUCCUAGUGUAGCGGUGAAAUGCGUAGAUAUUAGGAGGAACACCAGUGGCGAAGGCGGCUUUCUGGACUGUAACUGACACUGAGGCACGAAAGCGUGGGGAGCAAACGGGAUUAGAUA